RNAcentral lists this ribosomal RNA (465 nucleotides) under uncultured Klebsiella sp. RNAcentral's name for it is "bacterial SSU rRNA". It matches the Rfam family "Bacterial small subunit ribosomal RNA", at positions 338 to 795 of the family's 1533-position model. Lineage: Bacteria; Pseudomonadati; Pseudomonadota; Gammaproteobacteria; Enterobacterales; Enterobacteriaceae. The record is from RNAcentral.
CCUACGGGAGGCUGCAGUGGGGAAUAUUGCACAAUGGGCGCAAGCCUGAUGCAGCCAUGCCGCGUGUGUGAAGAGGGCCUUCGGGUUGUAAAGCACUUUCAGCGGGGAGGAAGGCGUUAAGGUUAAUAACCUUGUCGAUUGACGUUACCCGCAGAAGAAGCACCGGCUAACUCCGUGCCAGCAGCCGCGGUAAUACGGAGGGUGCAAGCGUUAAUCGGAAUUACUGGGCGUAAAGCGCACGCAGGCGGUCUGUCAAGUCGGAUGUGAAAUCCCCGGGCUCAACCUGGGAACUGCAUUCGAAACUGGCAGGCUAGAGUCUUGUAGAGGGGGGUAGAAUUCCAGGUGUAGCGGUGAAAUGCGUAGAGAUCUGGAGGAAUACCGGUGGCGAAGGCGGCCCCCUGGACAAAGACUGACGCUCAGGUGCGAAAGCGUGGGGAGCAAACAGGAUUAGAUACCCGAGUAGUC